RNAcentral lists this long non-coding RNA (474 nucleotides) under Androctonus crassicauda. Lineage: Eukaryota; Metazoa; Arthropoda; Arachnida; Scorpiones; Buthidae. The record is from RNAcentral.
UAACAAAACUUUAUUUGAAAAAUGCAUUUUCAUAUUAUGAAAGUCUUCUGGAAAACAAUCUUAUUACUCCAAUCUCCUCAUCAACUAUUCUUGGAGAUGCAAUGGGAAUUGGAAAAGAAGUGUAUCAUGCUAUUAUCAAAAUAUUAAAUGAAUAGAAACUUUUCUGAAGAGGAGCUCAUAUCUGUUGAUAAAACUGAUAAAGCAAAUCAGUUCUUUGAGGUUAAAGUUCAUUCACAAUUAACAGAUGAUAUAGACUAUGUGCCAUUCAACAAGCUGAAGAUGUAUGACUUCAUUUCACUCAAAACAAAAAUAAAGGUAGAGAAUCUAGCUAAAAAACAUCCCAUUUGGAGUCUGUGCACUCUCCAGAGAAAAAGUUCUUGUAAAUUAUUAAGAAAAUAUGAUUUGAAGAGAUAGGAAGAAAAUAUCAAAAUUGGAGGAACAUUUGCUAAUAAAUAUGGUAUGAUUGAUUCUCGG